AGAGACAGCAGUAGCCGCGGGAAUACAGAGGGUGCAAGCGUUAAUCGGAUUUACUGGGCGUAAAGGGCGCGUAGGUGGUUAUUUAAGUGAGAUGUGAAAGCCCCGGGCUUAACCUGGGAACUGCAUCUUAUACUGGGUAACUGGAGUGCAGUAGAGGGUAGUGGAAUUUCCGGUGUAGCGGUGAAAUGCGUAGAUAUCGGAAGGAACACCAGUGGCGAAGGCGGCUACCUGGACUGAGACUGACACUGAGGCGCGAGAGCGUGGGGAGCAAACAGGAUUAGAUACCCGUGUAGUCCCUGUCUCUUAUAC
This 309-nucleotide ribosomal RNA is filed under the name uncultured bacterium. RNAcentral's name for it is "partial 16S ribosomal RNA". It matches the Rfam family "Bacterial small subunit ribosomal RNA", at positions 504 to 807 of the family's 1533-position model. The record is from RNAcentral.